RNAcentral lists this ribosomal RNA (232 nucleotides) under Xanthomonas citri pv. citri. RNAcentral describes it as "partial 23S ribosomal RNA". Lineage: Bacteria; Pseudomonadati; Pseudomonadota; Gammaproteobacteria; Lysobacterales; Lysobacteraceae. The record is from RNAcentral.
GUUAUAUGGUUAAGUGAAUAAGUGUAUAAGGUGGAUGUUUUGGUGGUUAGAGGUGAUGAAGGAUGUGGUAGUUUGUGAAAAGUAUUGGGGAGUUGGUAAUAAGUUUUGAUUUGGUAAUGUUUGAAUGGGGAAAUUUAUUUGUUUGUGGGUAUUUUGUAGUGAAUAUAUAGUUGUUGGAAGUGAAUCUGGUGAAUUGAAAUAUUUAAGUAAUUAGAGGAAAAGAAAUUAAUUG